UUUGUGUUUUAGACUGGUGUGCACCGAACGCGUCCGGUGCCAACUUGCUCAGCAUCCGGUGCACUGCAGGUGACCAUUAGACUCUGAUACGCGGCUGACGUUGGAGCACCGGACGCAGGAGGUGAGCGUCCGGUGACCCCGUGUUCAGCCCAGUGAAAGAGCUAACGGCUCUAUUUGCUUGAGGGGCUUAUAAAUACAUGUUUGGCCGGCUUGGGGCUCACUCUCUUGGCAUUCUUGACUACUAGACAUCCUUAUGAGCCUAAGCAAACUCCUCUCACUCAUCUCCUUCGUAGAUUAAACAUCUUUAUGAGAUUGGGAGUGAUUUCAAGUGCAUUUGCUUGAGUGAUUGCAUCUAGUGGCACUUGGGGAUCGUUCUAGCUGUGGUUUUCUUGUUACUCUUGGUGGUUGCCGCCACCUAGACGGCUUGGAGCAGCGGAGGAGGAUUGCCACGAGUUCGUGAUUGUUCGUGGCCAUCUCCCGGUGUUUGUGAGGGGUCUUGUACCUUCCCCGGCGGAGAGCCGAAAGGUAACUCUAGUGGAUUGCUCGUGUCAUUGAGUUACCUCACUUGUGGGUCGGUUCUUGUGGUGUCCUAGUGAGGACGAGGUCCGUGCUACACCUCUUAGCCACCGCACCACCAAGUGUUGGUCGACACAACGGGGACGUAGCGUGCCGGCAAGCACGUGAACCUCGGGAGAAAAUCGUGUCUCUUCAUUGUGAUUGUGCUUUGGAUUUCUCCCGGUGAUUGGACUUCAUAUUAUUGAUUGGUUCAUCCCCUCUACGUGGUGGUAUAAAGAUCAAACCUUCUCUCUUACUUUCUUACAAACUAGAGUAGCUUACAUACUUGUAUAGAAACUUUAGGUAGCUCUCUUGUGUAAGUAGAGACAUAGCUCUUGUGUGCUUAGUGAUCAUAUCAACUAGAUUUGUUGGAUAGGUGGCUUGCAAACACCCCUUUAGAGCUAGAGCAAAAAGCUUCGCUUUGUUAUUUACUAACCUCUUGCUCUAGUGAAUUUGUAGAUUUUUUAAAUAGGCUAUUCACCCCCCUCUAGCCAUAUUAGGACCUUUUAGAAGGUUGAGCUGUUGUUUAUCUGUUCCUAGAGAUGCUAGAAUUCUAGAUAAUUUUAUCUUUGAAAAUCUUUAAAAUGUUGCAUAAUGAGUUCCUGUAUGAUGAGAGUUUAAAACCCUACCACAGCCACAUAUACAUGCUUAUUAGACUAUGAACCUUACAUUUACUUUUUACUACUUAUGAGCAUUGAGUGUGGUCAAGCUGUGUAGACCCUUAGGAACUUGUCAUGCGGUUAAAAUCAAGAUCCACUUGCACGUUCACUCAUACAUGCUGCUUCUACUCCGGAAGUACGCAUCCACAUACAUCCACUCAUUUCCCUCUCCAGAUUCACCCAAAAUUAUUCUACUCCUAUCCGGAAUAGAAUAGCCAAAAACAUUAUCCCAUUCCUGCUUUUCCCAGUGAAAUAAAUGCUCGAGAUAUUUUGGUUACUACCACUUGCUACAUUAUUCCAGGAGGGUGAGUGCUCUAAAAAAAGAGAGAAGAAAAAAAAUAAGAAAAAAAUACGAGGAAAUAAAAAGGGGCAAGUGCCCGGAACCUCGAAGAAAAGAAAAAGUGAGACGAGAGGUAAAAAUGGACAAGUGUCCGAUAGUAGAAUUAGGAGUACAAGAUACCCACCUGAGAGAAAAGAAAAAUAAAAUAUAGAGCAUCUCAUUCCCCUCAAAAAGCUUCAAAGUGCAAGGAAGGUACGUAUCCCCUCAAAAGAGCAAAAAUAGAAUUAGACUUUCACCAUUGUUUUCACCAUCAUCACCAUACACCAUUCAUUCGCCACACAUGCACAUCUUGAUUUGACUUAUUGACUUGUUUCUCUAGAUCCAUGGUUUGAUUAUGCAAUAAAUGUCUUGUAAGUAUGUAUUAGCUGUCUCCCACCUAUGAGCUCCAGAUAUCAAAGCCUCAUUAGAGUAGGAUGAGAGAGAAGGCAAUAUCACUAUGCCUCAUACCACAAAUACUACAUACUUUGAGAGAAGGCAUAUACCAUCACUGCUUUGGUAAGGAUCCAAAAAUACCACAAAAGAGAGAUUUGAGAAAGUCAUACAAAUGAAUCUCUGAGUUUUAUUUGAAAAUCUACAAAAACUCUAGAGCUAUAGUUGAUCAAGAAUAAGAGACAUGGCGCUUGACUAGACUGUUCUAUCUUUUAACUGCUCAAGACAAAAGUGACGCUUGCAAGCCCCAUGGUGAAAGGUAAAACGAGUAAGUUUAAAUCUUAACAGUUUACCCUAACCCAGAGAUGAGAUCUUGUUUGAACACAUGUAUACCUUUAAGGCAUGAAACCACUGCAAAAACUCUUGAGUCCAUCCUUGCUCAGGGACGAGCAAGAGGUAAGCUUGGGGGAGUUGUUGACGGUCCUUAAGUACCAAAUUUAAUUAUCAAAUAAACAAAGAAAAGGAUCCAAAUACAACCAACACCCAGACUUAGGGUUUUAUCUGACAGAAUUCCACAAGUUUUGGUGUUUGUCUAUUUCUGCAGGGGGUUAUCAGGAAAUAUGGAGGAAAGGCCCACAUGUUGGGUUUACAUAGACAUAUUAACGUGUCGUGCAAUUUUCUAUCAUCUAGAAGACUCCAUAAGCCACGGGAACGAACGAGAAGCCGAGCGGGCCCGGGGACAGGGCGCCCGCCCUCCCCCCUUGGGCGCCCGCCCUGUCAUCUGGACCAAUCAGGCUCCGCCUCGAGGAUUAUGCUCCACCGCCUUUGAGGAUCAAGGAAAACCGUGCGAUUAAGGUCGGUUUGAUCCGACGGUCCACAUUCAUUUGGAGGGGCUAUAUAAGCAGGCCCCCUGUCCCCUAGAGGAGGCACCCCUUCAUUCUUAUUCAUUAUUCAUAGAUAGAGCAAAAGCUAGGGUUUGGUGAUGAGAGCUCUCCUCUCAUCUCUAAACUAGAGUAGAUCUAGAUAGUAGC
RNAcentral lists this long non-coding RNA (2954 nucleotides) under Sorghum bicolor (sorghum). RNAcentral's name for it is "long non-coding RNA (SBIC_LNC010851)". Lineage: Eukaryota; Viridiplantae; Streptophyta; Magnoliopsida; Poales; Poaceae. The record is from RNAcentral.